CUACGGGGCGCUCCAGUGGGGAAUAUUGCACAAUGGACGAAAGUCUGAUGCAGCAACGCCGCGUGGAGGAUGACACAUUUCGGUGCGUAAACUCCUUUUAUAUAGGAAGAUAAUGACGGUACUAUAUGAAUAAGCACCGGCUAACUCCGUGCCAGCAGCCGCGGUAAUACGGAGGGUGCAAGCGUUACUCGGAAUUACUGGGCGUAAAGAGCGUGUAGGCGGGUUUGUAAGUUGGAUGUGAAAUCCUAUGGCUCAACCAUAGAACUGCAUCCAAAACUGCUUACCUAGAAUAUGGGAGAGGUAGAUGGAAUUUCUGGUGUAGGGGUAAAAUCCGUAGGGAUCAGAAGGAAUACCGAUUGCGAAGGUGAUCUACUGGAACAUUAUUGACGCUGAGACGCGAAAGCGUGGGGAGCAAACAGGAUUAGAUACCCUCGUAGUC
RNAcentral lists this ribosomal RNA (439 nucleotides) under uncultured bacterium. RNAcentral describes it as "partial 16S ribosomal RNA". It matches the Rfam family "Bacterial small subunit ribosomal RNA", at positions 339 to 795 of the family's 1533-position model. The record is from RNAcentral.